UACGGAGGAUGCGAGCGUUAUCCGGAUUUACUGGGUGUAAAGGGCGUGUAGGCGGGAUGGUAAGUCAGAUGUGAAAACUAUGGGCUCAACCCAUAGCCUGCAUUUGAAACUGUCUGGCUAGAGUGCAGUAGAGGUUAGUGGAAUUCCUAGUGUAGCGGUGGAAUGCGUAGAUAUUAGGAGGAACACCAGAGGCGAAGGCGGCUAACUGGACUGUAACUGACGCUGAGGCACGAAAGUGUGGGGAGCAAACAGG
This 253-nucleotide ribosomal RNA is filed under the name uncultured Coprococcus sp. RNAcentral describes it as "partial 16S ribosomal RNA". It matches the Rfam family "Bacterial small subunit ribosomal RNA", at positions 524 to 776 of the family's 1533-position model. The record is from RNAcentral. Lineage: Bacteria; Bacillati; Bacillota; Clostridia; Lachnospirales; Lachnospiraceae.